AUGAACGCUGGCGGCGUGCCUAAUACAUGCCAGUCGAGCGAACAGACGAGGAGCUUGCUCCUCUGACGUUAGCGGCGGACGGGUGAGUAACACGUGGAUAACCUACCUAUAAGACUGGGAUAACUUCGGGAAACCGGAGCUAAUACCGGAUAAUAUAUUGAACCGCAUGGUUCAAUAGUGAAAGACGGUUUUGCUGUCACUUAUAGAUGGAUCCGCGCCGCAUUAGCUAGUUGGUAAGGUAACGGCUUACCAAGGCAACGAUGCGUAGCCGACCUGAGAGGGUGAUCGGCCACACUGGAACUGAGACACGGUCCAGACUCCUACGGGAGGCAGCAGUAGGGAAUCUUCCGCAAUGGGCGAAAGCCUGACGGAGCAACGCCGCGUGAGUGAUGAAGGUCUUCGGAUCGUAAAACUCUGUUAUUAGGGAAGAACAAAUGUGUAAGUAACUAUGCACGUCUUGACGGUACCUAAUCAGAAAGCCACGGCUAACUUCGUG
RNAcentral lists this ribosomal RNA (496 nucleotides) under uncultured bacterium. Its description in RNAcentral is "partial 16S ribosomal RNA". It matches the Rfam family "Bacterial small subunit ribosomal RNA", at positions 29 to 507 of the family's 1533-position model. The record is from RNAcentral.